This 221-nucleotide unclassified non-coding RNA is filed under the name Hevea brasiliensis (rubber tree). The record is from RNAcentral. Lineage: Eukaryota; Viridiplantae; Streptophyta; Magnoliopsida; Malpighiales; Euphorbiaceae.
GGGAAUGCCACCUGUCCGAAGACCGGACAGGCGCUGGCUCACACAGAGCUCAUCCCCAACCGGCCGCUGCGCAACCUGAUCGCGCGGUGGUGCCGGGAGCAGAACGUGCCGUUCGAUAGCAAGGACGACAGCAGUGGCAGCGAGAAAGAGACUAAUCCAGCAGGGAACAAAGCAGCAAUGGAGGCAGCGAGAAUGACAGCGACGUUUCUGGUGGAGAAGCU